UUUUAGCCGGUUAACUCAGAAAACGAGCUGCACCAACCGGACACUUCAUCCCGGAAAUACGGAAGCCAGUGCGGAAGAGCUGCGGUCCGUCUCCCGGUCGCCAUCGAACAUAUAGUGAACAACAGCCUAAUGGUGACGCUAGCUUACUGAGAUAAGAGCUACACGGGAUUUUGCUCCAUUGCAACAAACAGUGUAUGGCCGAGUACACACCGCUUCUCUAAACGCACUUCUUGGUUUCUUUGAACGCCAGAUUGACUGCUCUGCAUUGCUCUCUUGUUUACCCAGGAGUCAGGACUAACAAGUAUAAAAGAAGACUGAGUACAAAAGAAAAAAAAAAAAACCUACAGAGGUGUGCCCACUACAGUUAUCAUAAACAGUUACAAAGUCAAGCGGAUCGGAGUGAACUAGAUGUAAAAAACAUGGGUCAGUUUCCUGUACGGAAGAAACAGCGUAGAAAGAGCAUUACAGAGCCUCCUAUUAUGAGUACUGAAGAUACAUCAUUGAGAGCAAUCAUACUUGGAAGCUCUGGUCAUCAGCAGUUCUCUCUCACCGAGUCGAUCCUGCAGAGCGUGGUCUUUGACGGCAGCUGAUCCUCACACUAUACUCACUACUAAAACUUCUGGAAGCCUCUUUGGGAGAAAUGUGACUCUGGUCAACACUCCAAAUCUUGACAAUUACAAGUUUAAAGAGGAACUGAAGAAGGCGGUUCGGUUCUCCUGUCCAGGGCCACACGCCGUCCUGUUUACUGUAAAUCCGUUAGACAUGCCGCCAAACGCGUACGAAAUUUUCAAACCGGUAGUGGAGUACUUUGGAGAGCAAAUCUUGGACAACACAAUGAUUGUUUUAUACCAUGAGGAAGAGCAGUGGAGGCAGUCGUUAGAGGACAAAGUGAUGAAGAAUCGUGACUUUAGAGAGCUUCUAGACCAGUGUCAUCGAAGGUGCCUAGUCUUCAACGGAAGAAGGGAAAGAGAGUAGCAUGGCAAAAGAAUUGUUGGACAAAAUAGACGAGAUGGUGGCAAAGCAUGGUGUUUUUUCAAACCUGGAAUAUAAAGACGUGGCUCAACAAUUCACACAUCAGGAAAUAAUCGUGGAAAAUCAAGAGAAAGAAGGAGGUCGGUGCAGUGCUAGAGGAACCGGAGAAGAAGCUUUCUCAGGAUGAAUGUGAAAAUAAGGCCUUCAUUAGCAUUAAAGUCUCUUAAAUUCACGUUUCAGAGGUCUUACAAACACAACCGACCCGACACGUAAACAAGAUUUAGAUGUUAUUUUCUCUCGUCGCUGUUUGAGAUGGUAAACCUGUGUGUGUGUGUGUGUGUGUGUGUGUGUGUGUGUGUGUGUCUGUCUGUCUGUCUGUCUCACAUCCGUGUUUUAGAGCGGCUCGGUUCACAGGAAACGCUCCAAACCAGCUUCAUCUCAGUCUGAGUUGUGAGUUUGAGUCGCUCAUACGUGCGUUUAGACCCGACACGCGUCAGGUUCACUUUGGGUUUACGUUAGAGUCAUCUCAAACACUCCUGUGGGACGAGGUUUACAGAAUUUCACCUGAUCUGUAAUGAGAAGUUAAUUUAAAAAAAAAAAAAAAAAAAACUGUUGUCAACUAAAAGGACGUCUACCUGCGGCUUUCCUCCAAAAUAAAAGCCACAAGAUCUAACACAUAGAAGUGAAUUAAGUCAGAAAUAUAAGACUAUUGUUAAAUUACUUUGUAUAAUAAAAAUGUAUUAUCAUUAAGUAUUAUUCAGUGCAAUAUUAAUAUUACAAAAUAGCAAAGGUUUUUUCAUAUAUAAAAUAAAAAAUGUAUGUAUAUUUACAACACUACUUGUUAUACUUGUUAACUGAUAUUAAAUUACAAAACAGCCUGGUAAACACUGCUGCGAGGGGGUUUCUCAUACGACGUCGACGUCUUUUUCUCUUCCUGAUUGCCGUAAUCCGUCUCUAUGGUUUUUUCCAUUCUUGGAAAGUCAUGGAAAAGAAACACUGGAUUUAUUUUUGUUGGAGCACAUGGUAACACAAAAAGGAUAUUUUUAUGCAUACGUUACCAAAGAGUGCUCUCAAGUCUUUAUUUCACUUUGUAGUUCUAAGAGCUAGAUAGAUGCUUGUAUAUUAUUUAUCUGUUGCACUAAUCAUUUUUUAUUAUUAUUUAAAUAUGGACAAUUUAAGGCUACGUUCACGCAGCAGGCAAAACUGACAAACGUUACACAGGUUUGUUACUGACAUGGCUGUUUUAACAACAGAAGACAGAUUGAAUCUGACAUUUUUAUUUCCACUCUCAUAUGUGGUACUGAAAUCCGAUACGUGGUCGUGCAAUUCAUGCAAUUCAACUCGACAGUCGUUGUAAUUUCGUACUACUGGGAAGGAAAGACUAACCACUGCUGUUUUAUUUUUGUUUCGUUUCUUAAUUAUCAGUGAAUCCAGUCUGUUAUAUAAAUGCUCUUUUUGUACUGAGGAGGACGUGUUAAGCUUUGAAACUUGCAGGGUAUUUUUUAACGGAACAAAGAUCUUUUAAAUGUCGGAAAAUCAAGGAAAAGUUUAUUUGGUUUGUUUGUCUCAUCUUGUAGACGUGAAAUAACCAGAAUCAAUCUUUACAGAGUUUAUGAACCACCGGCCGCAAAGAAACAGUCUCAGAUGCUCACUGACCCAACUGUAAAGUGUACAGUGGCUAUGAGGUGGAUUUACUCGUAUACAGUCGCUUUUUGCCUCCAGACAUUUUGAUGGUGCUCAUGACAGAAAAUUAAAAUAAGGGUCUGAACUUGACCACAACACACAAUGCCUAUUGGAGUGCUGAUGCUGCUUGGUGCUGAUACUCUCAGGAAUAGGCUUGUGCAAUAUUAAUUUUCUGAAUGUAGUCAAGUUUAUUUGGUGCAGUUCUAAAAAUGUGAUCUUUGGGCCUUUUUUACCCUCCUCACUAUGUGGAGGUUCAGUGUGCUCAUGAGUCCAAUACCUAUUAAAUUUCACCCAUUUCAGAUGUGAAACUUUUUUACUGUAUGGCCUCAAAAGCAUUUUUAACUGGGUGUGUGUUUCUUUUUAUCCAUUACCGGAUUUGUGCAGCUCAACAAUCAUCUGUCAUUUUUUUUAAAUCAUUGUUUGUUUAAUUUGUUUUCCCAUCCCAUGUGGUUGACAAAGUGAUGUUACAUGUGUGCAACCUUAUAUUUAAUACCCCAUUGAAACAGCACAUGGUUAAAAGCAACCAGUUCCUACAGGAUGAGAACAAAUUAUAAAAACACUUCACAUUGUUCAAGAAUGACAAUUUAUUUGAAUUUAUUUAUAAAUCUUUAGGUGUGUCAAUACCAUUGGUACAGAUAGUUUUGAGAAAAAGACAUUAUUAUGUUAAAAAGUAGUUUGAACAAGUUUACUUUUUGUAUAUUACAGAGAUAUUUAACUGUUGAAGUGGAAAAUUUCAUUGUUGUGUUUAAUGUUUUUUUUAUUUUAUUUUUUAUAAAGGGUGCCAAUAAUUCUGGAGGGCAUAUGGAGCACUUUCUCCCCAAAGAAACAUAAUGAAUAAUGAAUGUUAAGAAUUUGAUCAGACAGGGAAGGUAUUUGUCUGAUAUUGUUUACUAUUGUUGCUUUAAAAUAUUCUAGAUUCUCUUUACAUGUGGUUUAUAAUGUCACAAUAAUGCAGCAUCCAUAUAUUUUAUGUGUUAGGCUUUUAUUGUUGUAUUUUGUUCACACAUUUGUGUAUCUCAUGUUGAUUUGACGCACUAAAGGCCGUGUCCAUUGUUCAUUUGGGCAAUGAACAGUUUCUGAUUGUGGCUGUCAGAUUGGACUUGUAAUUUGUGAUGAACAUUGUCUGUCCAAUUGAAGGAAAUAAAUAAUAAAGCACAAUAUUUGCA
Molecule: long non-coding RNA, 3821 nt
Organism: Ictalurus punctatus (channel catfish)
Lineage: Eukaryota; Metazoa; Chordata; Actinopteri; Siluriformes; Ictaluridae
Exons: 6
Source: RefSeq, a predicted model, not a curated record